RNAcentral lists this ribosomal RNA (393 nucleotides) under uncultured bacterium. Its description in RNAcentral is "partial 16S ribosomal RNA". It matches the Rfam family "Bacterial small subunit ribosomal RNA", at positions 523 to 918 of the family's 1533-position model. The record is from RNAcentral.
AUACGGAGGAUCCGAGCGUUAUCCGGAUUUAUUGGGUUUAAAGGGAGCGUAGGUGGGAUAUUAAGUCAGCUGUGAAAGUUUGGGGCUCAACCUUAAAAUUGCAGUUGAUACUGGUUUCCUUGAGUACGGUACAGGUGGGCGGAAUUCGUGGUGUAGCGGUGAAAUGCAUAGAUAUGACGAAGAACACCGAUUGCGUAGGCAGCUGACCAGACCGCAAAUGACGCUCAUGCACGAAAGUGCGGGGAUCGAACAGGAUUAGAUACCCUGGUAGUCCGCACAGUAAACGAUGAAUACUUGUUUUCGGCGAUAUAAUGUCGGAGGCAAAGCGAAAGCGAUAAGUAUUCCACCUGGGGAGUACGCCGGCAACGGUGAAACUUAAAGGAAUUGACGGGG